This 472-nucleotide ribosomal RNA is filed under the name uncultured bacterium. RNAcentral describes it as "bacterial SSU rRNA". It matches the Rfam family "Bacterial small subunit ribosomal RNA", at positions 33 to 507 of the family's 1533-position model. The record is from RNAcentral.
UACGAGACGACGCUGGCGGCGUGCUUAACACAUGCAAGUCGAACGGAAAGGCCCUGCUUUUGUGGGGUGCUCGAGUGGCGAACGGGUGAGUAACACGUGAGUAACCUGCCCUUGACUUUGGGAUAACUUCAGGAAACUGGGGCUAAUACCGGAUAGGAGCUCCUGCUGCAUGGUGGGGGUUGGAAAGUUUCGGCGGUUGGGGAUGGACUCGCGGCUUAUCAGCUUGUUGGUGGGGUAGUGGCUUACCAAGGCUUUGACGGGUAGCCGGCCUGAGAGGGUGACCGGCCACAUUGGGACUGAGAUACGGCCCAGACUCCUACGGGAGGCAGCAGUGGGGAAUAUUGCACAAUGGGCGGAAGCCUGAUGCAGCAACGCCGCGUGCGGGAUGACGGCCUUCGGGUUGUAAACCGCUUUCGCCUGUGACGAAGCGUGAGUGACGGUAAUGGGUAAAGAAGCACCGGCUAACUACGUG